RNAcentral lists this ribosomal RNA (406 nucleotides) under uncultured bacterium. RNAcentral describes it as "partial 16S ribosomal RNA". It matches the Rfam family "Bacterial small subunit ribosomal RNA", at positions 30 to 526 of the family's 1533-position model. The record is from RNAcentral.
AUUGAACGCUGGCGGCAGGCCUAACACAUGCAAGUAGAACGAGUGGCGGACGGGUGAGUAAUGUCUGGGAAACUGCCCGAAGGAGGGGGAUAAAUACUGGAAACGGUAGCUAAUACCGCAUACCAUCGGAUGUGCCCAGAUGGGAUUAGAUAGUGGGUGGGGUAAUGGCUCACCUAGGGGACGCUCCCUAGCUGGGCUGAGAGGAUGACCCGCCACACUGGAACUGUGACACGGUCCAGACUCCUACGGUAGGCAGCAGUGGGGAAUAUUGCACAAUGGGCGCAAGCCUGCUGCAGCCAUGCCGCGUGUAUGAAGAAGGCCUUCGGGUUGUAAAGUACUUUCAGCUGGGAGGCGUUACUCGCAGAAGAAGCACCGGCUAACUCCGUGCCAGCCGCCGCGGUAAUUC